AUGCUUGUUGUGCAUCAUGUCUUGUCUAUGUGUGGUGUGUUUACUAUGUUGUGUGCUUCUUCUCGAUAGUUCCCGUUUCGUUGCGAUCGUGAGGAUGCGUUCGUCUACGUGUGGUUCAUCUUCGUGGCUUCAUCUUCUUCAUGGACCCGUUCUUCUUCCUUGCGGGAUUUCAGGCAAGAUGACCGCUACCCUGGAUCUCACUACUAUCAUUGCUAUGCUAGUUGCUUCGUUCUAUCGCUAUGCUGCGCUACCUAUUACCUGUUUAUCAAGCCAUCCCAUAUUGCCAUGAACCCCUAACCUUUGACACUUUUCCUAUGCAAACCGUUGCUUGGCUAUGUUACCGCUUUGCUCAGCCCCUCUUAUAGCGUUGCUAGUUGUAGGUGAAGUUGAAGAUUUCCCCAUGGUGGACAGGAUUUUGGUUGGGAUAUCACAAUAUCUCUUAUAUUAUUAAUGCAUCUAUAUACUUGGUAAAGGGUGGAAGGCUCGGCCUUAUGCCUGGUGUUUUGUUCCACUCUUGCUGCCCUAGUUUCCGUCACACUGGUGUUAUGUUCCCGGAUUUUGCGUUCCUAACGCGGUCGGGUGAUUUAUGGGACCCCCCUGACAGUUCGCUUUGAAUAAAACUUGUCCAGCAAGGCCCAACCUUGGUUUUACCAUUUGCCUCACCACCACCUAUCCCUUUCCCUUGGGUCGGCCAACCUGAGGGUCAUCUUUAUUUUAGCCCCCCCGGGCCAGUGCUUGUCUAAGUGCUGGUCCGAACCGAGCGAUGUUCGGCGCCCCCUGGGCAACCAGGGUCUAUGCCAACCCGACGUCUUGCUCAUCCGGUGUGCCCUGAGAACGAGAUAUGUGCAGCUCCUAUCGGGAUUUGUCGGCACAGCGGGAGGCUUUGCUGGUCUUGCUGUACCAUUGUCGAAAUGUCUUGUAAACCGGGAUUCCGAGACUGAUCGGGUCUUCCUGGGAGAAGGUCUAUUCCUUCGUUGAUCGCGAGAGCUUGUCAUGGGCUAAGUUGGGACACCCCUGCAGGGUUUAAACUUUCGAGAGCCGUGCCCGCGGUUAUGUGGCAGAUGGGAAUUUUUUAAUGUCCGGUUGUAGAUAACUUGACACCAGAUCCGAAUUAAAACGCAUCAACCGUGUGUGUAGACGUGAUGGUCUCUUCUCGGCGGAGUCCGGGAAGUGAACACGGUUUCUGGGUUAUGUUUGACGUAAGUAGGUGUUCAGGAUCACCUCUUGCUCAUUGCUAGCUUCACGACCGUUCCGCUUGUUCUCUUCUCGCUCUUAUUUGCGUAUGUUAGCCACCAUAUCAUGCUUAGUCGCUGCUGCAACCUCACCACUUUACCCCUUCCUUUCCCAUUAAGCUUUGCUAGUCUUUAUACCCAUGGUAAUGGGAUUGCUGAGUCCUCGUGGCUCACAGAUUACUACAACAACAGUUGCAGGUACAGGUUAUGCGAUGAUCCUGAUGCGAGAGCGAUGCUUGCUUGCGUUGAGUUCUUCUUCUGCUUCUUCGAUCAGGGGAUAGGUUCCAGGUCGGCAGCCUGGGCUAGCA
This 1540-nucleotide long non-coding RNA is filed under the name Triticum aestivum (bread wheat). RNAcentral describes it as "long non-coding RNA (TAES_LNC007098)". Lineage: Eukaryota; Viridiplantae; Streptophyta; Magnoliopsida; Poales; Poaceae. The record is from RNAcentral.